GCAACUCACAGUAGUGUGCUGGCGGUAGUGAGAGGAGGGUGUGCCGCUGGUCCCUCCCUGUGUGGCUGACCUGCUCCCUGCUGGGGACUUUAUAUAUAGAAGCGAUUGUCAAGUGGAUGUGUGGCUCCGAACUCUGGCUCAUUGCGGCUCUAGUGCCCGGGGUGACUGCUUGUUUGGGCGUGUAUGAGUACUGUUUGGGCAAGCGAUGAAUGGUGAAGUGGUGGUGUGUGGAGGCGGCGGCGGCGGCGGCGUGGGGAUGAUGAAGACCAGCAAAGUGAGCAAGGCUGGCCCUAGCGGGUGGUCAGCUGGCCACCACCACCUCCACCACCAUCACCACCACCACGACCCUUGGAUCCAGCCCCCCGUCACCACCCCCGCCAGCCUCAGCCCCAAGGAACCCCCCACCAACACCUCCAUGGACUCUGGGGUGGCUGGCCUGCGGGACACCCCCGUACACACCCCCGCCCCCAUCCACCACCACAACAACACCACCACUGCCACCAUCACCACCACCACCACCACCAUCACCACCAACACCAACAGCAACAAUAACAACAACAACAACAACAUGGGUGGCGGCAAAGGGAACAACAACAAUAACAAUAAUAACAAUAACAACGAGGACUAUGAUGUGCCCAAGUUCAUCGUUGACCACAGCACCAGAGCCACCUACAUGAAGGGCCGCUUCUUGGGCAAGGGUGGCUUCGCUCGAGUACACGAAGUCACGGAUCUCAUCACCAACAUGACCUACGCUGGCAAGAUAAUCCCGAAGUGUAGGAUCACCAAGCCCCAUCACAAGGAGAAGAUCGCACGGGAGAUUGAGGUCCACCGUCACCUUCGUCACCAGCACGUCGUCCGCUUCCACCACUACUUCGAGGACGACGCCAACGUGUACAUCAUUCUCGAGAACUGCGCCAGGAGGAGUCUAGUGCACGUGUUGAAGCACCGACGCACCCUGACGGAGCCUGAGGUGCGGUACUACAUGCGGCAGCUGGCGGAGGGCGUCGCGUAUGUCCACCAGCAGCACGUCAUCCACCGCGACCUCAAGCUGGGCAACAUGUUUCUCACGGAGGACAUGUCAGUGAAGAUUGGGGACUUUGGGUUAGCCACGCGCGUCGACGAUAAUCGGAACGUCAGGACCAUAUGUGGCACCCCGAACUACAUUGCCCCUGAAGUGCUCAACAAACUUGGCCAUUCUUACGACGCGGACAUCUGGGCCAUGGGAUGCAUCAUGUACGCUCUCCUAGUCGGCCAGCCGCCUUUCGAGACAGAUUCACUCAAGGAAACGUACUCGCGCAUCACCACAAACAAAUACGUCAUUCCACCACUUGUGAGCGACGCUGCCCGCAACCUCAUCCGCCGCUUCCUCCACCCAGACCCCAACGCGCGGCCCCGCCUGGACCAGCUGCUGAGCCACGAGUUCUUCACGUCAGGUGUGGUGCCAACGUCCUUACCUCCUUCAGCCUGCACUCAGCCUCCUAAGUUUGGGCUUGAGGUGAUCGGCAAGUCGGUGUCUAUGCCAGAACAGCAGCUUCAGCACCCUCCUUCCCUGCCUCAGUCUCAGUCCCAGCAGCAGCACCCUCUCUGUCAGGACAUCAAGAAGAUCACCUCCUCAGUCUCCACUCUACGGAUCCCCAACCAGAAGCCUCAGACGGACAAGAUAUCCAUUCUGGAGGGAGGUCUUGGUCUAGGCAGUCCUCCCCCCACCCGGCCUACCAACACUGCAGUCCCCAAGGAGGAGAACCGCAAGAAGGACUCGGGAGGCACCCUGUCCUCAUGUCUGCGGCAGAAGCUCUCCUCUGUCAUCUGCACCACGGACAACAAAGCCUCAACGGGCACUGUGGUGACAGCCAAGAAGAGGGACGUCACCUCGGGGACUCUGUAUAACCUGCUGGCAUCCUGUCUGGACAACAUGCCUGAUGACAUGAGCACCAAUCCUGCUGUCCUCAAUCACACUCCACUCUUCAUCUCCAAGUGGAUUGACUACUCCAAUAAGUACGGCUUUGGCUACCAGCUGUCAGACAACUGUGUGGGCGUGUUCUUCAAUGACCUCACCCGCAUCAGCAUAAGUCCAGACAAGAGCCGAGUAGAGUUCACGGACUCGACUGGGCGACUAGUGGUGCACCAGGCCGGUUCAUUACCAGCCUGGCUGCAGGAACGUUACCAGCUGCUGCGUUACUUUGCCACCUACAUGGAGGAGAACCUGACAGAAGCUGGGGAUGUGCGGAGCAGUCGGGCAGUAGUCGGGCGAGGCAAUGUCAUUCCUCACGUGAGGCGCUGGGACCGGACACCAAAGUCCAUCAUUAUGCAGCUUAGCAAUGGCACCUUCCAGAUCAACUUCUUUAAGGACCACACCAAGAUAGUGAUUGCCGGUGAGCGAUCAGAUGUGAGCAUCAUGUUCAUCAGCAGUGACCGUCAGUCCUUCACCUACCGCCUCUCCCAGCUGGCUGAGGUGGGCUGCGAUGCCAUGGUGCGGGAGCGGCUGGUUUAUGCUCUCUCCUGCCUCCGCCAGUAUGCUGAGUUGGAUGGAGAGGAGGUCUGAUGGAAAGCUUAUUCUAUUCCCAACCUUCAUCAUUUUGCCAUGAGAUUUUGGAAGGUCUUUUUUGUCUGUUAAGUUCUUGGAUGAAAUGAGUGUUUGAUGUUUUGUUGGCUUGUCCGAAAGGAAGUGGAAAUUGUUCAUGGUGGAAAAAUGUUAUACUGUGAAUCAUCAUGUCAUGAAAAGUUUAAGUUUGCUUUAAGUGAAACAUUAAUGCAUAGUGCUCAUUGAGAAUGCACUAUAAUAUGUUACACUGGAAUCUUCAACAUGGAUGCACUGUAUUUAUUGAGGAAAGGAAAGGUUUUAGUGUGUGAGCUGCUGCAUCAGUGAAUGGUGUGUAGGAACUGUAAACUAUGCAAAAACUGUACAGUACUAUUGCCUGCACAUCAACAUACACAGCUGUGCAGCAGCUUUGUUAUAACAUUUCUCCUGAGAAACGGAAACCAACACCUGUGUUUGAGACCAAUGGAGCAUGAGCGCUCUACCUCACAGCUACUACUGUUAGUUAUGUAUCAAAUCACUGCCCAUGAUGAUAGUCAAAAGGGCACAGAAAAGCCUACUUGGCCUCCCCCAUGCACUCCUUCACUGCGCCAGUGUAACUCCAGACUGAACUGUGUGGCUGCCAAGGGUGUGUUGGGGAGGCUGGUGACGUGUUCUCCGUGUUGCCCCCAGUGUUUACCAAAGAGUGCAGAAGGGGGGGCAGUGUUGCACAGAGUGGAUGAAACAGAAGUAUUGGUGGCACGCCAGGCAAGAUGCUUCAGGCAGCAAGAAGUGAUGGCUGUCUGGGCGAGGUGACAAGAGGUUGUGCCAGGAACAUUGUAAAAUACCUCUUCUGUGCAUUAACAUUCAGUUCUGAAAUCCGUUUAUAUGUAUAUGUAUAUACAUAUAGUAUAUAUAUCAAGUUUAAUCAAAUCAAUAAUGAUCUCUUAUGCUAACCUGCUCAAUGAUUCAAAUAAAAAUGUGCAUUCUUGGCAUAAUUUUGCAAUGUCUGUUUUUAGAGGAGUUAUGUGCAAUCUUAAAGUAAUAGGUUCUGUGGCAGGCAACAAGGAGUCAGUCAUGCUCAGAAUACUAAGUGAUGCAUUCUUGUCGGCUGUCUUAAAACUGAGGUGAAAGAUCAUUUUUCUUUCAAAGUAUGGAAAUGCAAGUCCGUCCCUGUGUGUAGUGCAGCAUCAGAAGUGUGUGUGUGUGUGUGUGUGUGUGUGUGUGUGUGUGUGUGUGUGUGUGUGUGUGUGUGUGUGUGUGUGUGUGUGUGUGUGUGUG
This 3796-nucleotide unclassified non-coding RNA is filed under the name Portunus trituberculatus (swimming crab). Its description in RNAcentral is "serine/threonine-protein kinase PLK1-like, transcript variant X3". Lineage: Eukaryota; Metazoa; Arthropoda; Malacostraca; Decapoda; Portunidae. The record is from RNAcentral.